GAGAGCAAGAUGUCACUGGGAUUUUACUACAGAAAAGGAGUUUAUAUGUGCUAAAGGUUAGAGCAUGGAAUUGCUUCAAUGUGCAUCAUUUUGCUAAAUACUCUAAAUGGAUUACUCAUUCCAGUUUACAGAAACAAGAUCUAAAAUCAGGUAAAUAUCUCUGCAGAAUUAUUUAUAUAUGGAAACAAAUCACAUUAAAUCUGCUCAUUAGUUUUGAAUAGGACAUAAAAAUAAAUUAGCUACCUAAAAUAUGUGUAGUUGUUCAUGCAUUUUUAAAAAGAUAAAGCAAGUUCAGG
RNAcentral lists this long non-coding RNA (296 nucleotides) under Chinchilla lanigera (long-tailed chinchilla). RNAcentral describes it as "lncRNA (ENSCLAG00000024344.1)". Lineage: Eukaryota; Metazoa; Chordata; Mammalia; Rodentia; Chinchillidae. The record is from RNAcentral.